RNAcentral lists this long non-coding RNA (309 nucleotides) under Nicotiana benthamiana. RNAcentral's name for it is "long non-coding RNA (NBEN_LNC018539)". The record is from RNAcentral. Lineage: Eukaryota; Viridiplantae; Streptophyta; Magnoliopsida; Solanales; Solanaceae.
ACAAAGGAGAGCUGUAAUUCAACAGAUAUGGACAUUGAUGUGUCUGCAAACAAGGGUAAAGGGAAAGCUAUUGUGUCAGCUUCUGAAGCAAGUGAAGCUGAUAGCCAUGAAUUGUCUGCAUCUAUGGCUAAGAUUGUGUCAGCUUCUGAAGAAAGAGAAGCUGAUAGCCAUGAAUUGUCUGCAUCUAUGGCUAAGAUUGUAUUCAUUUUGAAGCUUCUGACUGAGAUUUUUUUGAUGUACACUGCUUCAGUUCAUAUUCUGCUUCGAAGAGAUUCUGAAGUUAGCAGCUGCAUAGCUGCUCCUCAACGG